RNAcentral lists this ribosomal RNA (221 nucleotides) under uncultured bacterium. RNAcentral describes it as "partial 16S ribosomal RNA". It matches the Rfam family "Bacterial small subunit ribosomal RNA", at positions 524 to 741 of the family's 1533-position model. The record is from RNAcentral.
GACGUAGGGCGCGAGCGUUGUCCGGAUUUAUUGGGCGUAAAGAGCUCGUAGGCGGCUUGUCGCGUCGAAUGUGAAAACCCACGGCUCAACUGUGGGCUUGCAUUCGAUACGGGCAGGCGUAGAGUUCGGUAGGGGAGACUGGAAUUCCUGGUGUAGCGGUGAAAUGCGCAGAUAGUCAGGAGGAACACCGGUGGCGAAGGCGGGUCUCUGGGCCGAAUACU